GACGAGCGUUGGCGGCGUGCUUAAUACAUGCAAGUCAACUGAAGCAGUGGUAGCAAUCUCGCUGUGGAGGUGGCGCACGGGUGAGUAACACGUAGGUAAUCUGCCUUCAGGUCUGGCAUAACUCCGGGAAACCGGGGCUAAUAGCAGAUGAUGCAGCGGCUCGACAUCGAGACAGUUGUUAAAGCUAUGGCGCCUGAAGAUGAGCCUGCGUCUGAUUAGCUAGUUGGCGGGGUAACGGCCCACCAAGGCAACGAUCAGUAGCUGGUCUGAGAGGAUGAUCAGCCACACUGGAACUGAGACACGGUCCAGACUCCUACGGGAGGCAGCAGUAAGGAAUAUUGCUCAAUGGGAGAAAUCCUGAAGCAGCAACGCCGCGUGAGGGACGAAGGGCUUUUGCUUGUAAACCUCUGUAGUGAGAGAAAAAAAUCCCAAUCUUUGGGACAUGAUGGUAUCUCAAAAGUAAGCCCCGGCUAACUACGUG
Molecule: ribosomal RNA, 481 nt
Filed under: uncultured bacterium
Lineage: Bacteria
Description: partial 16S ribosomal RNA
Rfam family: Bacterial small subunit ribosomal RNA
Source: RNAcentral